Microbacterium sp. C448 is the source of this 128-nucleotide regulatory RNA element. It matches the Rfam family "ALIL pseudoknot". The record is from Rfam. Lineage: Bacteria; Bacillati; Actinomycetota; Actinomycetes; Micrococcales; Microbacteriaceae.
AGUUUCUUCGCGCGGGAGCUCGACCCGCGACUGCCGUGGUAGUUCAGUUCAUCGAUGAUCAUCGUGACCGGUUCGGGGUCGAGCCGAUCUGCCGCGUGCUCACUGAGCACGGGGUCAAGAUCGCCCCG